UACGGGGGGGGCAAGCGUUGUUCGGAAUUACUGGGCGUAAAGGGCUCGUAGGCGGCCAACUAAGUCAGACGUGAAAUCCCCAGGCUCAACCUGGGAACUGCGUCUGAUACUGGAUGGCUUGAAUCCGGGAGAGGGAUGCAGAAUUCCAGGUGUAGCGGUGAAAUGCGUAGAUAUCUGGAGGAAUACCGGUGGCGAAGGCAGCAUCCUGGACCGGCAUUGACGCUGAGGAGCGAAAGCCAGGGGAGCAAACGGG
Molecule: ribosomal RNA, 253 nt
Filed under: uncultured bacterium
Lineage: Bacteria
Description: partial 16S ribosomal RNA
Rfam family: Bacterial small subunit ribosomal RNA
Source: RNAcentral